UAAAUCUUACGAGUGUCAUCUAACCUAGUUCUUAAUUAAGAAUUUUGAUGAGAUGUAUUUUUGUUUGUCAACAUCACAAAAUGUCUUGAUGAAUUGUCGUUUAAAUCCUAUAUUUACUUAGAAACAAUCAAUACACACAAAUGUUGAUGAUGCCUUUUACAAGAGACAUAGAUUUAUGUUGAUUUUUGUAGCUGUUGAUUUAGUUGCCUCCUAUAAUAACAUCUACUAGCUCUCUGUUGGAACCUCGUUUGGUUUUUCGGUUGAGUUAUGGACGUUAUGGUGGGGCGAUCUCUUGUCCUUCUCUUUGUGUUGCGUAAUUUGUCUUUAGUCUGUAGGUGGCUUUGGCUGGGUUUACGAAUGUCCAUGUGUAAGGAUGGGUGGUCCUAAUUGGCGUUUCUCCUCUCGGAUCUCAAGGACUUUCCUUGAUCCUUCGUCUUUUCAUGUUCAUUGACUCUAAAGUGGUUGUGGUGGUUAGGUUCUAUGCUCUCAUCUUCUUGUUAUAUCGUCUUCGUUUCUGCCGUGGAGAUGGUUUUUGUGAACUCAGUUUAAUUCUCUCUUCUAGACACCUGUCAAUUGCCUCUCCUUAGUGACAAACUGAUCUAUGGAAGUAUUAGUCGGCUGCUUAUAGGAAAGAGUUUUCAGAGUUGUGGUGUUGGAGGUUUUAGUUUUUACCUCUUUAGUUGUUAUUUUAUUUUUCAUCUCUUCUAAUGCUUGUAAUGUUUGUCUGCCUUUGUUUGGUCUUAUGUUUUUGGGGAUUUAUAUGUACCGGUCGGCUUUGUCUCCUAAACGAUUUUCUUUUUUGUCGGCUUUGUAUAAUUCAAACGCAUUCUAUCAAUGAAAUCCUUUAAACAAAAAAAAAUCCUAGAAAAAAAUAGCCAAAUACAAUUUUUACAAAAUAUCUUAUUAUCAAAGUUAAUAACUUAUACGAUCGUAACACAUGACAAAUCUAUUGAUCUUAUAUUUUGACAUGUAUCGAAAAAGAUUUUAACUUUUUUUUUCCUCUUAGAAGAAAAAGAAAACUUAAAAAAAAAACAAAUUUACAUAUACUAAUUUAUCACUGUAAUGGAAAAUUAAUAGUAAGAUGGAAUGCAUAGAAUUAAAUUGUUUUCUAUUGCAAAAUCAAAUUGUAUUUGAAUUUUGUACAAUCAAAUUAA
Molecule: small RNA, 1154 nt
Filed under: Arabidopsis thaliana (thale cress)
Lineage: Eukaryota; Viridiplantae; Streptophyta; Magnoliopsida; Brassicales; Brassicaceae
Description: ATSL260030
Source: RNAcentral